Molecule: ribosomal RNA, 486 nt
Filed under: uncultured bacterium
Lineage: Bacteria
Description: partial 16S ribosomal RNA
Rfam family: Bacterial small subunit ribosomal RNA
Source: RNAcentral
AAUGAACGUUGGCGGCGUGGAUUAGGCAUGCAAGUCGAGCGAGAACCCUCCGCAAGGAGGGGGACAGCGGCGAAAGGGAGAGUAACGCGUGGAUUAUUUGCCCCCGGGACCGGGAUAGCCGCGGGAAACUGCGGGUAAUACCGGAUGACGUCUCCGGACCAAAUGGUGUGAUUCCGCCAGGGGAUAAGUCCGCGUCCUAUUAGCUAGUUGGUGGGGUAAUGGCCUACCAAGGCAAUGAUGGGUACUGGGUGUGAGAGCACGACCCAGCUCACUGGGACUGAGACACUGCCCAGACACCUACGGGUGGCUGCAGUCGAGGAUCUUCGGCAAUGGGCGCAAGCCUGACCGAGCGACGCCGCGUGUGGGAUGAAGGCCUUCGGGUUGUAAACCGCUGUCAGUGGGGAGGAAAUGUCUAGGGGUUCUCCCCUAGAUUUGACCUAUCCGCAGAGGAAGUCAGGGCUAAGUUCGUGCCAGCCGCCGCGGUAA